GUGCAGCAGGCGCGAAACUUCACACUGUGCGAAAGCACGAUGAGGGAAUCCCAAGUGCUUGCACGUAAGUGUAAGCUGUUUCUCUGUCUAAAACGCAGAGAGAGUAAGGGCUGGGUAAGACGGGUGCCAGCCGCCGCGGUAAUACCUGCAGCUCAAGUGGUGACCGUUAUUAUUGGGCCUAAAACGUCCGUAGCCGGUUUAAUAAAUGCCUGGGUAAAUUGUGUAGCUUAACUAUACGAAUUCCGGGUAGACUGUUAAACUUGAGACCGGGAGAAGUUAGAGGUACUCCUGGGGUAGAGGUGAAAUUCUGUAAUCCUAGGGGGACCACCAGUGGCGAAGGCGUCUAACUAGAACGGGUCUGACGGUGAGGGACGAAGCCCUGGGGCGCAAAACGGGGAUUAGAUACCCGGGUAGU
This 415-nucleotide ribosomal RNA is filed under the name uncultured microorganism. RNAcentral's name for it is "bacterial SSU rRNA". It matches the Rfam family "Archaeal small subunit ribosomal RNA", at positions 330 to 745 of the family's 1478-position model. The record is from RNAcentral.